RNAcentral lists this ribosomal RNA (484 nucleotides) under uncultured bacterium. RNAcentral's name for it is "partial 16S ribosomal RNA". It matches the Rfam family "Bacterial small subunit ribosomal RNA", at positions 30 to 507 of the family's 1533-position model. The record is from RNAcentral.
AUUGAACGCUGGCGGCAGGCCUAACACAUGCAAGUCGAGCGGAUGAAGGGAGCUUGCUCCUGGAUUCAGCGGCGGACGGGUGAGUAAUGCCUAGGAAUCUGCCUGGUAGUGGGGGAUAACGUCCGGAAACGGGCGCUAAUACCGCAUACGUCCUGAGGGAGAAAGUGGGGGAUCUUCGGACCUCACGCUAUCAGAUGAGCCUAGGUCGGAUUAGCUAGUUGGUGGGGUAAAGGCCUACCAAGGCGACGAUCCGUAACUGGUCUGAGAGGAUGAUCAGUCACACUGGAGGUGAGACACGGUCCAUACUCCUACGGGAGGCAGCAGUGGGGAAUAUUGGACAAUGGGCGAAAGCCUGAUCCAGCCAUGCCGCGUGUGUGAAGAAGGUCUUCGGAUUGUAAAGCACUUUAAGUUGUGAGGAAGGGCAGUAAGUUAAUACCUUGCUGUUUUGACGUUACCAACAGAAUAAGCACCGGCUAACUUCGUG